AAAAGAAAUAGGGUCCAGCUACUGGAGGCAGAAGGGCUGGCAUGAGAACAGGAAGGAAAGAAUAUGGUGGAGGAGCUGAGAAGCAUAAUGGAAUCAUUUCCUGAGGUAGAGCUGUUCUCAGGAGCACUGCUGUGAGAGAAGGAGCCGAAGUUUGUGGCCUACUCAUAGUGAGCACCUGCUUACUGCAGCAAACCACAUCCAAGAAAAGUAAAAAAAAUAAAAUAGAAAAUCGUGGCAAAAGGAAUACUGAAUGUUUAGCCAAAGGUGAAGGAAAGCCGGAGGCAGAGAUUCAGUAGUCUGAAUGGUGCUGCUUUUUGUGCCUGUAAAGAAACUAAAUUUCUAGUAGGGCCCUCUGAUGUAGCGAGGAAUGGUCAUUAAGGACUUCUGUGAUAUAUUUUUCAGUAGCAGAAUUGGAUGUUCAGUAAACCUGAUGGUGAAAAAGUACAUGUGAAGAAAAAACAUUAAUUAAAGAAUCAUCUUUUUCCCUUCUAUAAAAGAAGGUGCUGAAAUACACCUGUAUAUGACUGGGAGUAAGCCGAGUAAAAGGGACAAAUAAAGAGAACAAAUGUGAAAGCUAAGACAUAAGGACUUCUGUGAAGGUUGUCGGCGUGAGUCCUUCAAAACUGGGAAGCAGAAGCAUUUCACGUGGAAAAAAACACAGCUAAUGUGAUCUAGGAGAUGCAGCAGAAAAGGUCAACCAAGGGGACAGUACCGAAAGUAAAUCGGAGAGGAAGAGGAAGGAAUAAUCAUGAGAGAACUGAUGGCCAGGAGGAGUCAUUGUCACAGGCAGACACUCAUUGUAGUGUUUUGUAACUUUCUUCUCUUGUUCCAUAUGUUUUCAGCAUUCCAGUGACUUCAGACAGUGUAAGGUAGCUGAAAAAUACAAAACCGAAUAUAAAUUUGCAGUUGUAUGUGAUAUAAUUUCCAAAAAUAUCUUCAGUAUAAUACAGUAUGGUUAUUAUUCAAGUCAAGUGAGUUGCAUCAAAAUAACGUUUUCUUUCCUUAAAGAGGAAUGAAUUUGCUACAUUAGAGGUGGGUUUAUAUUAGGUCUCAUUAACUUUUGUUUAUUGCUUGAACUUUUGGAUGCUGUUUCUGUGAUUUGUGUACGUUCAUUUGAGGAAAGGCAAAUAUUUGUAAGAGUGAUGAGUAGAGCAAAUAUAUUGGAGCUGGAGCUUUAGUAACAGCACCCUUCUAGGAUGAUUUGCAGUAUAAAAUAAUUACUGAGUGCUCCUGCAGAAAUGCUGUUCACUGGUGAAAGAGGCAUAAGCAAAAUUAUACUGCAAAGAAAAUAAGAGUAAUUCCAGAGUUUUGGGGUGAAAUAAAAUAUGAUAAAGGUAGUAAAAUAUUAUCCAUUUCUUUUGAAGUUUUGCCACUUAUCCAAGAGGUGACUGUUAGCGUUAGGA
Gallus gallus (chicken) is the source of this 1403-nucleotide long non-coding RNA. NCBI's taxonomy places the organism in Eukaryota, Metazoa, Chordata, Aves, Galliformes, Phasianidae. The record is from Ensembl.